AAACGCUUGAAGUCAGUCGCGUUGGCUGAGAAUCAACCUUGCUUUGCUUGGUGUACUUCUUAGUCGACGGGUCAGCAUCAGUUUUGACCAUUGGAUAAAGGUAGAUUGAAUGUGGCAUCUCUCGGGAUGUGUUAUAGCCCUUGGUCGCAUACGACGGUCGGGAUUGAGGAACUCAG
This 176-nucleotide ribosomal RNA is filed under the name Agaricales sp. Its description in RNAcentral is "partial large subunit ribosomal RNA". Lineage: Eukaryota; Fungi; Basidiomycota; Agaricomycetes; Agaricales. The record is from RNAcentral.